RNAcentral lists this ribosomal RNA (456 nucleotides) under Phyllidiopsis cardinalis. RNAcentral describes it as "partial 16S ribosomal RNA". It matches the Rfam family "Bacterial large subunit ribosomal RNA", at positions 1819 to 2596 of the family's 2925-position model. The record is from RNAcentral. Lineage: Eukaryota; Metazoa; Mollusca; Gastropoda; Nudibranchia; Phyllidiidae.
AGCUUUAGGAAAUUGAUUUAAAGUUAGACCUGCCCAAUGUGUGGGUUGAAUGAUCUUAAAAUUAUUAAUGGCCGCGGUAAUUUGACUGUGCUAAGGUAGCGUAAUCAGUUGUCUUUUAAAUGGAGUCAGGUAUGAAUGGAGUCACGGAAUUUAGCUGUCUCUAUACUAAUCUAUUGAAAUUACUAUGUAGGUGAAAAAGCCUAUGAACAGAUAAGGGACGAGAAGACCCUUAGAGUUUUUUUUAAAGUAAAAUAUAUUUUUACAAUAAUUUUGUUGGGGCAACAUAGGAACAAAGAAUAACUUCCUAGAAAGAAUUAACCGAUGUUAAUAAAUUUGUAUAAACUACCUUAGGGAUAACAGCAUAAUUUAAUUUAUAAGUUUGUGACCUCGAUGUUGGACUAGGAAACUUAAAGACUAGCAGUUUUUAAGAAAGGUUCUGUUCGAACUAUAAAUCCU